This 217-nucleotide non-coding RNA is filed under the name Rattus norvegicus (Norway rat). The record is from RNAcentral. Lineage: Eukaryota; Metazoa; Chordata; Mammalia; Rodentia; Muridae.
GUCUGGACGCGCUGGGUGGAUGCGGGGGGCUCCUGGGAACUGGGUUGGAGCCGAACGAGCGCUAGCCAGGCGUAAGCGCGCACACACUGCAGCGUCCCGAGGACGACCCCCCUCCCACCGCCGCCCCCUCAGCCCACCCGGAGACCCCUGCACCGAGUCGCCUCCGGAUCCCCGGCAGUCUGCGGGAGGUAAGGAGCGGUACUUGCAAACCUCCGAG